This 492-nucleotide ribosomal RNA is filed under the name uncultured bacterium. RNAcentral's name for it is "partial 16S ribosomal RNA". It matches the Rfam family "Bacterial small subunit ribosomal RNA", at positions 29 to 507 of the family's 1533-position model. The record is from RNAcentral.
AGUGAACGCUGGCGGUAGGCCUAACACAUGCAAGUCGAACGGCAGCACAGUAAGAGCUUGCCCUUACGGGUGGCGAGUGGCGGACGGGUGAGGAAUACAUCGGAAUCUACUUUUUCGUGGGGGAUAACGUAGGGAAACUUACGCUAAUACCGCAUACGACCUACGGGUGAAAGCAGGGGAUCUUCGGACCUUGCGCGAUUGAAUGAGCCGAUGUCGGAUUAGCUAGUUGGCGGGGUAAAGGCCCACCAAGGCGACGAUCCGUAGCUGGUCUGAGAGGAUGAUCAGCCACACUGGAACUGAGACACAGUCCAGACUCCUACGGGAGGCAGCAGUGGGGAAUAUUGGACAAUGGGCGCAAGCCUGAUCCAGCCAUACCGCGUGGGUGAAGAAGGCCUUCGGGUUGUAAAGCCCUUUUGUUGGGAAAGAAAAGCAGCAGGUUAAUACCCCGCUGUUCUGACGGUACCCAAAGAAUAAGCACCGGCUAACUUCGUG